Phycodurus eques (leafy seadragon) is the source of this 6275-nucleotide long non-coding RNA. RefSeq lists it as uncharacterized. The record is from RefSeq and is a predicted model, not a curated record. NCBI's taxonomy places the organism in Eukaryota, Metazoa, Chordata, Actinopteri, Syngnathiformes, Syngnathidae. The transcript is spliced from 3 exons.
AUGCCUCAUCACACCCGCAUGCUCUCCAUUUCUCUCUCUCUCUUUCUCCCUCUCAACACUCUCUCAUUGGCCCCGCCAGUUUAUUUGCCACGGCGAGAAACAACAAGCUCCUUUUCCUUGAAUGGACCCCAGAUGGGAAGGUGGGAGCUGGAAGAGUGGUAGGAGAAGUGCAGCGGGAGGAGGCGGAAGAGGACAGCUUUUUGUUUGCCAUCCCUACUCGGCAGCAUCAGUACCAAUUCGUCCAGCACCGCAUCCUCUGUUUCCUACUGGGAUCAACCUCCUCCUUCUUUUCAGGGAGCUCUUCCUGCAACUGGGAGGGGGAGGGAGAUCACCACCUCCCAGUUUGCCAAGGACCCUCAGGAAGGCAUCAGGCUGAAAGAGCGCAGGAAGGGGAGGGAAUUUUAGAGGUGCGCCAGGAGAGGCAACACCCUGCUUUACAGGAAAAGGAAGAAAAGCGGCCCCAGUUCUCAUUACGACAGGACCGAGCAACAGUGGCAACAGUAGCAGCGAAAGCCAAAAGUCACCAACGGAAGCUGGUCAAAGACAGGCAGUGCAGCAAGGCUGUGGCUCAGAGGAGCCAUUGAUGGAACUUAGUCUCACGCUGCAGUGAGGCGUCUUCAAUCAAUGCAACUACCACCUUUCUCAAUCUGUUUAUGUGUCUGUUUGCCACUGGCGCAUGAAGAAGGGCUGCUGAUGGCAGCAGUGAUGGCCAUGGUGGUGGGGAUGUGAUGAUGCAAUGGCAGUGGAACUGCUCACAUGGUUUCUGGUUAGCCUCCUGCGUAUAUUGAAAGACUCUCUUCGGUGACGGGUAUUCUUGGGUGGAUAAUACGGAUCACGUUGUUAUUGCUUAAGAAUACGCGUAGUCGAGGAGAGUCCCCUCUUCGCCCAACACCUGACACCCACCCACCCACUUCACCUUACCACACCUCACCCCAACACCCUACCCAUCCAGGGGAGGACUAUUCGUUUGGGUGGCUCUUCUUUGAAGAUGAAAUCAUUGCAAUCUUUUUUUCUUUCCCUGCCUUCAUGCAUCUGUCUUUGUGGCGACGGGCAGAUCUUUUUCUUUUCUGUGUUUGUCUGCCGUGCUGCUUUGAGAUUGUUUGCUGAAAGAAAGAGUGUGACUCAAAAACAGGGUCAAUACACACCACAGUAAGCAGAAGCAGUGAUUUCAUUCAUUUUGACAUCAAUAUGACAUUCGAAUUUUCCUAAGAUGACCAACCCAGUUGAAAAACAACUUGCCAGCCUGUUCCAUCGAUCCAUCUUUUGAAGUCCCAGUAAACUGAAAAUAAAUGUCUUUAUAAAUUUGACACACCACAAAUAAGAGUCUUGUAAACAACCUUACCAAAUUUGAAUGAUUAAAAAAAUAAUAAUAACAAAAUAAAAUAAAACCUGAAAAUGAGGCUUCAAAAUCAAAACCACGCCCACUUUGUAUAUAGUGGGGAAUCGGCGACUGAUCCUGGAUGCCCAAAUAUGCGAGCAAAAUUUCCAAGGCGAGACUGAAUCCAGUUGGCCAAUUUAUUCCUCCCACAAAAUGAACAAAAAUAAGUAAUUGGGAACCCAGGGGAUGUAACAUUUUUAGAAUGUUAUCUUUGAAUUAAAAAAAAGAAAAGAAAAGUGCAUUUUUUGACUUUAGGAAUUACCUUUCAAAUGAUGCCAAUCUAAAUCGCAUUGUCGAUAUGGAAAUUUUUCAUAUAAAUAUCGUAUGUGGUAAAUGCUGCAUUCAUUUGUCAAUUCAUCAAUGUAGGUUCAAACAUAAAAAAUCUUAGGGCAUUUUGUCACAUUUCAUUACAAAAAAAGAAUAAUAAUAUUGUAUCACUGUAUUCGUGAACAGAAACAAUUCAUAAUAAUUCAUGCAACCCUGUUUGUAAUAAUAAUAAUAAUAAUAUUACAAAAAUGAUACAUACACAGUACAUAUACAAUUAUCUGAUAAAAAUGAAAUAACAAUAAUAAUGAUUAUUACUACACAUAUUGAUACACAUUCAUUAAUUUCAACGGGUGUGCAUUAUUUUACGAUCAGCAGAUGAAUUGUGUGCAUUUUCGCAGCAGAGCCUCACCCUAUUCAAGUCACUGUACAUUUAUUAUUGUAGCGAGGCAAGCUAAGCUGCAGUUUAGUUUCCCCGCUCCCCGCCCGUUUAUCCCCUUUUUAUGCAAAUGGUUGCUCAAACGCCAUUUAUCUCGGUGAGGUUUAUGACACUUGCAUUAUGGUUCUUUCUGCUGAGCUACGCAAAGGAACACACUCACAUGCGCACACUCGCUCGCUGAGAAAACAAAAUCUACCAUGACUGUUCGACAGCUCAAUUCAUGCAUUGCGGAGCGAGGCAUUAUACAAUUACUCCUCGCUCAAAUGGUCUAGAACUACAAGCGGGACAGUUUGCGACCUGCCAACGCACCAUGAAUAUGGAUCCCCUCCUCUAUGUCUGAUAGCACAUUCUGAAUCUUAACAGCCAUGUAAAAUCCAUUUAAACACAUAAUAGGAUCAAGUGGAGUCAGACAGUCAUGUCCUCAUCCAUGUCACGUCUCAGGAUGAUCCGCUGGAGAUUUCCUCAUCAUGCCGGGCGAGAAGAAACCAUAUUUCCACGCUUCUUAUAUACGAAACCUAAAAUCUGAUUUGCAUUUCUGAAGCGUAUUGUAAUGUAGAACCGACCCAAGAUUGAUUACACAAUAGCAUUUAUUUAAAACCUGGAUUCUUUGCCAUGCUACAUCGUCAUUUAACAUCAUGAUUAAAAUAGUACAAAUCAUACUUUAAGAUCUCACAUGAAUUAUUGUUCAUGUAUGAUUAUAUUUAAUUUCAACUAGUACAGAGGCUUGCUCGAAUGUAUAAGAACGUCAAAAGCGGUGAAAUCACAAAAACAACAAAAAUCACUCUGCAAACCAACACCUAAACAUUUUGGAUGUUAAAAGAUUAGAUUUGAGAUGAGGUUAAAUGAGAUUAGAUAGCUUUGUGUGAUGACAUCCUUGUGUGUUGAUUUGCAGGUGUUUCUGUGUUUUGAUGGCUUGGUGUUUCUGCUGCUAGGCCUCGUCUGGCUAAUAUCCAUUGCAUCAUUUGUGUGCUUUUCACACGUUCUCUAAUGUGCUCUAAAUUUAAAAUAAGUGUAUGUGGGUAAUUCCAGAAUUGGAUGCCAAUUUAUGCACCAGCAUUUUUGAAAAACUUUUUUUCCUUUUCAAGAAACAGGUAAUAGAUCAUCAUAUAAUUUUAAAUCAUACAGCUCAACCAUCAACAGUAAACUUUAUAUUCGGAUAUUAUUUUAUUUGUCAUAUCUGUUGCAGAUACUGAAAAAUGUAUAUUCCGAAUUUUCUUUCCCAGGUAGAUUUUAUUUGAAUUUUAAUGACAUUUUAAGAUAUCCAAUUACAGUAACAGGGUUGCAAAUUGACGCUAAUGCUAAAAAUAGAAGAGCCAUGGCCAGCGCAAAUAGCCUGAUGAUGUCAUUUCUGCUGAGUCAUGUAGCUCACUUUUUUGUCUCUUCCUCUAGAUCACUCAAAAGGUUUUAGUAGCAAGGUUUCUUGUAUGUUGAGAAACACAGCAUAAUUACUACUUCAAAACAUGUCUGUGAUAAAAAGAUGUUUAAACAAUUCAAGGGAGACAUAUAUGUAAUUCCCGAAAAAAAAAAAAGAUUUAAAACUUAUUUUAUCUGUUAUAUUUGAUAUGUAAGUUGAUAAUCGAGAGGGAGGGACAAGAGUAAAAAAACAAUUUAUGGGGUGCUCAGGAGCCACCUGACAUUUUACAUUACAUUUAGGAAUGGCUCUCAUUAGAGCUACAGUUACAGUUUGUCUACAUGUGUAACGAUCAUUUACACAUCAAGUACACGUUUCUGUAUUUUGUUUGUGCAUGAACUAUUUGGAAAUGUCACAGUGUGUGUGUGGGAGGAGGGGAGGAGGCCAACAAAUUUCUUCCAAUUCUGGAAUGAUCCAUCUUGUUUCUGAAUUGGGUCUAUAUUUGGUAGUCCCAAACUCAAUACAAAUAUCAAAUAUAAUACACUUAUAAUGUAUUCCUCAUGAUAGUCUUUAUGAAUGAGUGUUGGAGCUAAUAAAACCAUGACCCCUGUUGAAUGGCUCAUCAGUAAUAGUUUGGUUUCUAGUCCUGUGCCCAGUCUCAAUUACAUGUAUGUCUCUGUUUGUUUGUCGUAUGUCAAAUGAUUUGGCCAAGAUGAUCAAUUCAGCAUUGUUUGCUCUUAUUGAUUAUGGUAACAGUGGUUUCUUGUAUUACUGAUGUAGGCAGUCAAGAUCUGCUGCGAAUCAUGUGGUUGUGCCUGCAAUUUCAAUCCUCUGUAUUGAUAAGAUGUUACUGCUCUUGCUGCUGCUGAUAAUGCUGAUGAUUCCUAUUAAAGCUAAAUAGGAAUGAGCAGUCAAUGCAUUUCAAUCAUUUCAUUAUAUUUUCCCAUUCAUAUUGUUCCUUGUUUUGGUCAGCAAAUCUUAGCUUUGGGGAAGAAAAAUAAAAAAUAAAAAAUCAUCAAUGCCUCUUGAGAAAAAAAAAACAAUUGAGAAUUUGAAUAAUGUUUUAUUUAAAUCAUAUUUUUGACUCAUAGCGAACACUGCAAUUUAGUGUAAUUUCUGUGGGCAAAAAAUAUUAACAGGCCUCAUAAAAUAAUGUUGGGCUCUAUUGUAUCUUAUCUUACUAAAUUAUGAGAAAAACAAGAAAGAACAAUGAUUGUAUACAGUUCAUUGAACAUUUGAACAAAUGUCUUCGUUUUACCCUGUCAUUGACACUUAAAUAAGCUCAGUCCAAAUUGGUUAUUUAAAAAACAAAAAAUGAAAUCAACCCAAUUGCAGCAGUAUAUUUUGCAGCCAUCUUGAAUUUAGCAUUCAUCACGUUAAAUAUUUUGGAGUAAAUUUCACUGACUGUGGAUGGCAGCAUGGCUCAGGUGGUUGCGUGGCCCCCAGUUGUUCCUGUAUUGUGAUUCUGUGAAAGAGGCAAUAUUGGAAAAUCGGUUUAGGAAAAAUGGUUUCAUUUAAAUGUAGCUUCGCAAGCCCUUGAAUGACUGUCAUUCUGCCAAUAUUGCCGGUCUACUGGUCCCAAUAUUGAUCUAUAUCGGAAAAUAAUGACAAUGUUAUUAGCUGUAGCUAUGUGGUUUAAUAGACACAUCGUGUAUAAAUGUAUAGUAUGUAUUAAACAUAGAAUGAAUGCAACUGACUGAGACUGAACUGUAUUCAUAAUUCAAGAGCUAUUUUCCAAAAUGCACAAAUCCAUUUGGAUUAUUAAAAAAUAAAUAAAUAAAAUAAAAUAAAUACAUAAAAAAUUGAUUUGCCCAGGCGUGCUAAUUUUGCAAACAUUUGAGCCCACUAAAGUACUUAUUAAAAAUGAUUUUUUUUUUGUUCUUUGAGAUUAUGCUUUCUGCCAAAAAUGGAAUGGAAGUGCAGUUUGCAGCACAUUUAAUAGAUAAUAGAUUGCACACUAAAGGAUUUGAAUUUGGCGUUUAUCAAAAUUUGGAUUUAAGGUCUUUGUAUUUCUUUGACAUAUUUGUACGAACUUGAACAACUCAGACUUAAAUAUAAACAAAAGGUUUUCAGUUAUUUAUGGCAGAAAUAAUUACAUUUGUAUGAGUACCCAGAUGCCCUGCUACACACAUAACACGAACACAACUGAAAUUGUACAAAUUUAAAUGUAAAAUUGGAAUUAACAAUGCCACUAAUUUUAUCCUGUUAGAAUAAUUAUCACAAUUAAUUUAAUUAGACAAGCAAUUGAUAAAAUUCACUAUUAUCAUGAUUUAUUUAUUUAUUUAUUUUUUAAUUACUAAGCCAUGGCCUGUUGUUAAGAUUCUUGAGCAAUGUUUUCUUCCAUUUAAGCAUUCCUUCAUUUAAUGAGUGGGGGAUAAAACUAAAGUAAAUAAAUAACUUUAAUUACACAAUUUGCUAAAUACAUGAAAAACAGUUCUCAUAAUGCUGCUUGUUGUAAAUACAGUAAUGCAAUUGGAUUAUUCUUGUGAAUUGCAUGUCAGUAUAGUGGAAUUUUAAUUUGAGUAUAUCAAUGUGUGGAAUUUGAUGGCGAUCCAUAAUGGCUGUAUCAGUAACAAGAAAUUGUGCAAAUUGAAUUGUAAAACUGUAUUUAAGAAUAAUUGCCAUUUAUUUUAACCUGCUAUUAUAAUUCUAGUAAUUUAGACAUUGUUAAAUUAAAAAAUAUUUUUUUACUUACCAUGCCAUGACUUGAUUGUUAAGAAUAUUUUGCAAUGUUUUCCUCCUAUUUAACAAUUGCUUAAGAUAUUUUUUUUUUCAACAAAUAAAUCUGUGAAAAGUAGUUAUGAUAAUGCCGCUGUCAACAAUGUAAUUAGAUUAUUGCUGUG